Molecule: non-coding RNA, 75 nt
Organism: Geofilum rubicundum JCM 15548
Lineage: Bacteria; Pseudomonadati; Bacteroidota; Bacteroidia; Marinilabiliales; Marinilabiliaceae
Source: Rfam
AAGAGCCGUGUGAUGGAGACUAUCAAGCCCGGUUCUGUGAGAGGCUUAGGGAGAAGUUCCCUUUGCCUACUCGAC